RNAcentral lists this small nuclear RNA (155 nucleotides) under Canis lupus familiaris (dog). RNAcentral's name for it is "U2 spliceosomal RNA (ENSCAFG00030002583.1)". It matches the Rfam family "U2 spliceosomal RNA". From Rfam's summary of the family: U2 is a small nuclear RNA (snRNA) component of the spliceosome (involved in pre-mRNA splicing). Complementary binding between U2 snRNA (in an area lying towards the 5' end but 3' to hairpin I) and the branchpoint sequence (BPS) of the intron results the bulging out of an unpaired adenosine, on the BPS, which initiates a nucleophilic attack at the intronic 5' splice site, thus starting the first of two transesterification reactions that mediate splicing. Lineage: Eukaryota; Metazoa; Chordata; Mammalia; Carnivora; Canidae. The record is from RNAcentral.
AUCGCUUCUCGGCCUUUUGGCUAAGAUCAAGUGCAGAUCCCAAACCCAUUUCCCACCUAAACUGAUUAUUAGCUUUAUUAGCUAUACUUUCCUUGUAGGUAUAAUGGAGGUUCUAUUCUCUGUGUUGUCAUCUUUAGAGCGGGUAGAGAAACUUC